GACCCAGUGGCGGAGGGUACGUCGUCCGCGUGCGGUGUGUAUGCGUUCCCAAAGAAUAUUUGCGGGACGUCCUGGUUCGACUCCAGGCUGGGUCG
Non-coding RNA from Mycena latifolia, 95 nucleotides. The record is from the annotation of a GenBank genome assembly. NCBI's taxonomy places the organism in Eukaryota, Fungi, Basidiomycota, Agaricomycetes, Agaricales, Mycenaceae.